GACGAACGCUGGCGGCGUGCUUAACACAUGCAAGUCGAACGGAAAGGCCCUGCUUUUGUGGGGUGCUCGAGUGGCGAACGGGUGCGUAACACGUGAGUAACCUGCCCUUGACUUUGGGAUAACUUCAGGAAACUGGGGCUAAUACCGGAUAGGAGCUCACGCUGCAUGGUGGGCGUUGGAACGUUUCGGCGGUAGGGGAUGGACUCGCGGCUUAUCAGCUUGUUGGUGGGGUAGUGGCUUACCAAGGCUUUGACGGGUAGCCGGCCUGAGAGGGUGACCGGCCACAUUGGGACUAAGAGACGGACCAGACUCCUACAGGAGGCAGCAGUGGGAAAUAUUGCACAAUGGGCGGAAGCCUGAGGCAGCGACGCCGCGGUCGGGAAGACGUCCUUCGGGUUGUAAACCGCUGUCGCCUGUGACGAAGCGGGAGUGACGGUAAUGGGUAAAGAAGCACCGGCUAACUACGUG
RNAcentral lists this ribosomal RNA (468 nucleotides) under uncultured bacterium. Its description in RNAcentral is "partial 16S ribosomal RNA". It matches the Rfam family "Bacterial small subunit ribosomal RNA", at positions 28 to 507 of the family's 1533-position model. The record is from RNAcentral.